RNAcentral lists this ribosomal RNA (464 nucleotides) under Trioceros hoehnelii. RNAcentral's name for it is "partial 16S ribosomal RNA". It matches the Rfam family "Bacterial large subunit ribosomal RNA", at positions 1921 to 2615 of the family's 2925-position model. Lineage: Eukaryota; Metazoa; Chordata; Lepidosauria; Squamata; Chamaeleonidae. The record is from RNAcentral.
CCCUAAACGGCCGCGGUACUAAAACCGUGCAAAGGUAGCACAAUCACUUGUCCAUUAAAUGAGGACCCGUAUGAAAGGCAACAUGAGAGAAAACCUGUCUCCUAAGGCUAGCCAAUGAAAUUGUACUACCAGUACAAAAGCUGAUAUAUCAAAGCAAGACAAAAAGACCCUGUGGAACUUUUAACAAAUUGUUUAAACACAUAAACAACAGUUUCAGUUGGGACAACUUUAGAAAAAAUAAACUUCUUAAUUUACCAAGACAAACAAGUCUAAGACAACAAAGAUCCAGUAGUACUGACUAACGAAACAAGCUACCCCAGGGAUAACAGCGCCACCUUCUCAAAGAGUCCAUAUCAACAAGAAGAUCUACGACCUCGAUGUUGGAUCAGGGUACCCAGACGGUGCAACAGCUGUCAAUGGUUCGUUUGUUCAACGAUUAAUAUCCUACGCGAUCUGAGUUCAGA